Molecule: ribosomal RNA, 421 nt
Filed under: uncultured bacterium
Lineage: Bacteria
Description: bacterial SSU rRNA
Rfam family: Bacterial small subunit ribosomal RNA
Source: RNAcentral
GAAUAUUGGACAAUGGAGGGAACUCUGAUCCAGCCAUGCCGCGUGAAGGAUGAAGGCGCUCAGCGUUGUAAACUUCUUUUGGAUGGGAACAAUAACUUCUACGUGUAGGAGCUUGAGGGUACCAUCAGAAUAAGCACCGGCUAACUCCGUGCCAGCAGCCGCGGUAAUACGGAGGGUGCAAGCGUUAUCCGGAAUCACUGGGUUUAAAGGGUGCGUAGGCGGUGGCGUAAGUCAGUUGUGAAAUUCCCCGGCUUAACCGGCGGGACUGCGAUUGAUACUGUGUCACUUGAAUCAGGAUGAGGUAGGCGGAAUGUGACAUGUAGCGGUGAAAUGCUUAGAUAUGUCAUAGAACACCGAUUGCGAAGGCAGCUUGCUGGACCUGUAUUGACGCUGAGGCACGAAAGCGUGGGGAGCAAACAGG